Molecule: ribosomal RNA, 877 nt
Filed under: uncultured bacterium
Lineage: Bacteria
Description: bacterial SSU rRNA
Rfam family: Bacterial small subunit ribosomal RNA
Source: RNAcentral
AGGGUUCGAUCCUGGCUCAGAAUGAACGUUGGCGGCGCGGAUUAGGCAUGCAAGUCGCACGAGAAACUAAUUAGCUUGCUAAGAGGUGGACAGUGGCGCAAGGGAGAGUAACGCGUGGUUACUUGCCCUCGAGACCGGGAUAGUGUCGGGAAACUGGCAGUAAUACCGGAUAACAUCUUCGGAUCAAAUGGUGUGAUUCCGCUCGAGGAUAGGACCGCGUACUAUUAGCUUGUUGGUGAGGUAACGGCUCACCAAGGCUUCGAUGGUUACCGGGUGUGAGAGCAUGGCCCGGCUCACUGGGACUGAGACACUGCCCAGACACCUACGGGUGGCUGCAGUCGAGAAUCUUCGGCAAUGGACGAAAGUCUGACCGAGCGACGCCGCGUGCGGGAUGAAGGCCCUCGGGUUGUAAACCGCUGUCAGUAGUUAGGAAGUCCAUGAGGGUUAUCUCUCAUGGUUGACCGAUCUUCAGAGGAAGGACGGGCUAAGUUCGUGCCAGCAGCCGCGGUAAGACGAACCGUCCAAACGUUAUUCGGUAUCACUGGGCUUAAAGCGUGCGUAGGCGGCUUGGUAGGUGAGAUGUGAAAGCCCACGGCUCAACCGUGGAAUUGCGUUUCAAACCCCCAAGCUCGAGGAAGAUAGGGGUGAUGGGAACUUAUGGUGGAGCGGUGAAAUGCGUUGAUAUCAUAGGGAACACCGGUGGCGAAAGCGCAUCACUGGAUCUUUUCUGACGCUGAGGCACGAAAGCUAGGGUAGCGAACGGGAUUAGAUACCCCGGUAGUCCUAGCCGUAAACGAUGAACACUGGGUUGAGGGGACUUCCACAUCCUCUCGGCCGUAGCGAAAGCGUUAAGUGUUCCGCCUGGGGAGUAUGGUCG